Molecule: non-coding RNA, 1291 nt
Organism: Salmo salar (Atlantic salmon)
Lineage: Eukaryota; Metazoa; Chordata; Actinopteri; Salmoniformes; Salmonidae
Source: RefSeq, a predicted model, not a curated record
CCCUGUCUCCCAACAGAGGUAACUGAUCUUAGGACAGAAUAGGCCCACCCAGAUCAGUCUUAUCUACACCUGCAAUUGGAGCACAUUACACACCUAUGACAGCUACAGGUAUGAAAGUGUAUAUGAAAAUUAUGCACCAUCACAGAAGGGUCAUAGGUGGGAGAUAUUGUUUCACCAUAAAAGGAGAGAGGAGAGACACAAAAUACAGUGUGUCACUCUCACACUCACUACUGUGGCAUUGCCUGAGUCAUUAUCUACAGCCAACAGCUCCUGUGUAUAUUUCUAAAAACAUUUUUGAAAGCAUGUGAAAACAGUCGACCCCGAAAGCAAAUCUCAUUUCCAUAUAUCCUGUUUCACUUCUCUCUCUGCAUUAUGCAUAAUAACAGGUGGCAGGUUUGGGACCUUCAAAGAACUCCUAACCAUGAUCCAAUGAAUGUGCUGCUGGUGCCUUUAUGUUCUCUCUUGACCUACAAUUAACAGAUGCAGGGGACAAGGAGAAUCAGACAAACACUUGGAAUACCCAGGAGAAGAAGCACCAGAUCUCAGUAAGCCUGAAGUUUGUGACCCUGACUGAAGUGGUUGAGCUGAGCUGUGAGUCCUCUGUCCUUGUAGAGGGUCAGCAGUGUUUGUUCUAGGUGGAUUCUAAACUCAAGGAGUUUGGUCGCUCAAAUGCCAUGCCAACCAAUGCUCCCUCCCAGUAAAGAGGUCAGAGCUGCUUGGGUGGAAGCCCAGAGGGCUGUGGUCAAAGGUCACCGUCCAGUGUCAUUACGAAGAGGAGGAGGGCGUCCACUCACCUCCCAGCAAAAAUGUGGUGUGGAACACAAACAUGCUGACUAAGUACAUCAUCGGAUGUAUGGCCCUGAUAGGAUUCAUGAUUCUACUUGCAGUAUUCAUAUUCUGCAUCACCUGUCUCCUCUCACUGAAAGCAAAGAGGAACGGACACCUCAUCAUAACAAGAUCGCCCAGUGACCAGACAUUGCCAGGAGACCCUACCGUAACAAGAAGGUGAAGAUGAUUGGUGCUAUGCCACCGUGUCCCAUGCUGGUGCUCCUCCAUCCUACUCAGUCAAGUUUGAGGAAGGCCAUGACUAUGCCACAAUGGUCAUAUACUGACCAGCAUGUGCCGACCUGAAAGGACAUGAAAGGACUUCCACAUAGAUAGAUUGUUUGAUUUUAACACCUCCAUUUCAAUUUUCUUUCCAAGAAAUCAAUUGCAUGCGUCUAUUUGCAAUGUAGUUUUGAUCAUCCAAUUUGUCACUUUAAGAGAACAAUAAAGUUUUUGUAUUCCACCA